CAGAGGAGUGCUGAGGAUUCCUUGAACCACAACAGCUGUCUGCAGCCCACAGAGCCAACCAGAUUCCAGGGCUGGAGCAGCAGUACUUGGCAGCAUCUCAUAAGGCACAGAGCUGCCCCAGCAGGUAGGCUGGGACAUCUCAUUGCCCAGAGAAGCUGCAAACUGUCAGGUGACUGGAUGAAUUUACAACUAAAUGUAGGUCAGAAACAAGAGCUCAACAGCCAGGGGGAGCAGAGAGGAGCACGCAGCUCUGGGCUGCAUGUUCAGCAGGAGGAAGAUGGGUGCAGGAGGGACUCAGGCUGUCUGAACAGUGCCUUCCAUGUGUGGGUCAGAGAAGAGGCAGGUCACAUUUGCCUCCAUCCAUCCAUGGAUCCCAAGCAUCCCGACAGGAGGGGUCCCAGAGGCAGCGGCAGAGCCCAGGGCUGCCCAGCCCGGCGUGAGCGGUGACAGACUGCGACAGAAGGAGGCUCUUCUCCGACAAACCCUCCUCUCCCUUCACCCAGUUUUCUUCCGAGCCUCAAAGAAGCAGAACUGCUUGAAACGUUCGUUUUGCGCCGUUUGAAUGGCAGCGGUAACUCCUGCACAGGGAGCUGCAGAAGCAGCAGGAUGCUGCUAGCAGGGUGGCAGCUGAGCAGAACCCCCUGCUGCAUACCUGAAAGAGAAGCAGGGCGUCUUUACUCGCCCUGGGCUGCAGCCUGUUGUGCAUUAACCCUGAAAGCUUUGGCUGUUUUCAGUAGUUCAUUGCUUUAAGAGAUUGGAUGUGCAUUUAUGUAAACACAGGCGUGCACUUGUCCUAUGGAUGGAAAAAUAAGUCAAAAACAAUGCUUUGAAAAGAAGCAGUCACCCCAAAAUAACAGUCCCUCUCAGUCUCUGUGAGUGUGAGAGCACAGGGCAUGACACUGCACCAGAGCAAACAAGAAGGCAGAUGACAGAAAUCCUACUCACCAUGUCUUAGUAUUGAGCAGAAAUCCUCUCUCCUAGCCCUGAUAUGAGGCUGGUCUUUAUCCAGAGGCUCCGGUGAUGCUUUUCAGAAUCAGAGGGGCUGGACCACUGCUGCUAUCCAGUGCUACUCUCCACCCCCUGCCUUUCCCUCCUCCUUCUUUCAUCUCCACCCCCUCAUUCCUCCUGCUUGCAGCUCUCCAUACCUUACAUAGAUUCUGGGCUUCCAAAUGUAUCUCAAUUUAGGAAAGAUGCAUAUUUCAGCCAUCUGCUUGGCAUCAUGGAAAUGCCUUCUUUGCUAAGGAAUAUGAGCCCAGGAGGUAAGCCUGGGAGUCGUGAGCCAGCAUUUCACUUCCCCUGUACUCUACAGCUUAUUACACAGGAAGGAACAUAUCCAAAUCAACAUCAUUUCUCACGUGGAUUGUUUCUGGCUAGGAUUUGGGAAAAGCAGUCAUAGUGUGUUUUUAGGUGAGGGAGAUGCUGAUGAUGGUGUUUCAUGAGGCUUCUGUUAGUGCUAAACUCAGAGAGGAUUACGUGAUCAAAGUGGGGAAGGGGUGCAUGUGAAUAGCUCAGCUGCCCAGAGCUGGAGCUUCACACUGCUGCCACCAAAUGUGAUCUAUUGAUAUCUCCUUAGAGCCAGCCUAACUUCUGUUUCAGUGUGCAGUGAUGUAAACAUCUACUUUUCAUCCUUCUGUAGGGAGAUUAAUUUCUUAUCAUCAAAAGCACCAAAGCUUUAACUGUACACCAGCAUGACACUGACUUCCUUGCCCCAGACCUGUCCCAAUAAAGGCCUUCCGAUCUGGUCA
This is a long non-coding RNA of Coturnix japonica (Japanese quail), 1745 nucleotides long. The record is from Ensembl. NCBI's taxonomy places the organism in Eukaryota, Metazoa, Chordata, Aves, Galliformes, Phasianidae.